CACACUUCACAGAAGUUACAUUGCCAGGUGUGACAUCAGCACAGACCAAACAAACGCCGAGCUUUAGGGAGGAGACGCAGGUCAGACUCCUAUGGCACCUGUUUGACAAUCUCUGGACUUUAACACUCGGGAUCUGAGACGGACUCUGUACUGUAGAAGAAGAGCUUAAAAAACAGGACAAAACUGCAAAGAUCUCUUGGGUUACGAAACGCCUCUAACGUUUGUUGGCUUCAGACCGCAGCAAACACCUGCACACUUUCCCAGAACCAGGCUUUCUGCCACCAGCUGACGCGCAUCACAUGCUGU
Sinocyclocheilus anshuiensis is the source of this 306-nucleotide long non-coding RNA. NCBI's taxonomy places the organism in Eukaryota, Metazoa, Chordata, Actinopteri, Cypriniformes, Cyprinidae. The record is from Ensembl.